Molecule: transfer RNA, 79 nt
Filed under: Proteiniborus sp. DW1
Lineage: Bacteria; Bacillati; Bacillota; Clostridia; Eubacteriales
Rfam family: tRNA
About the family: Transfer RNA (tRNA) molecules are approximately 80 nucleotides in length.
Source: Rfam by way of RNAcentral
GCCCGAGUGGCGGAAUGGCAGACGCACUCGACUCAAAAUCGAGCGGGAAACCAUGCGAGUUCGACUCUCGCCUCGGGCA